Non-coding RNA from Pelobates cultripes (western spadefoot toad), 202 nucleotides. The record is from the annotation of a GenBank genome assembly. NCBI's taxonomy places the organism in Eukaryota, Metazoa, Chordata, Amphibia, Anura, Pelobatidae.
AACUGUACCUGGCACAUGACAAUACUUUUUAGUUGUAGGCACUGAAAAACAUAAGAUUUGGUAAGUGGUAAGUGUUUUGCAGUUCUGGGAAGGGUAUAAUCUCCCCUAUGAUGCGUAUUCCCUUACCAUACAAUAUUAGGGAAUUUUAAGGGUUAUUUACUGACUGUUUUAAUUAUGCCAUUAUUGCACCAAAUUUAAAACC